RNAcentral lists this ribosomal RNA (846 nucleotides) under uncultured bacterium. RNAcentral describes it as "bacterial SSU rRNA". It matches the Rfam family "Bacterial small subunit ribosomal RNA", at positions 23 to 884 of the family's 1533-position model. The record is from RNAcentral.
CUCAGAAUGAACGUGGCGGGCGUGGAUUAGGCAUGCAAGUCGAGCGAGAAGUCCUUCGGGACGGACAGCGGCGAAAGGGAGAGGAAUACGUAGAAAUCUACCCCUGAGACCGGGAUAGCGUCGGGAAACUGGCAGUAAUACCGGAUAAUGUCUUAGGACCAAAGGUGUGAUUCCACUUGGGGAUGAGUCUACGCCCUAUUAGCUAGUUGGUGGGGUAAUGGCCUACCAAGGCGAUGAUGGGUAGCGGGUGUGAGAGCAUGAUCCGCCUCACUGGGACUGAGAACUGCCCAGACACCUACGGGUGGCUGCAGUCGAGAAUCUUUGUCAAUGGACGAAAGUCUGAACAAGCGACGCCGCGUGCGGGAUGAAGGCCUUCGGGUUGUAAACCGCUGUCGUAGGGGAACAAAUGUACGGGGGUACUCCCCUGUAUUUGAGUGAUCCUAGGAGGAAGGAGAGGCUAAGCUCGUGCCAGCAGCCGCGGUAAGACGAGCUCUCCAAACGUUAUUCGGUAUCACUGGGCUUAAAGAGUUCGUAGGCGGCCUAGCAGGUCAGGUGUGAAAUCCCACAGCUCAACUGUGGAAUAGCGCUUGAAACCGUUAGGCUUGAGGGAGAUAGAGGUAGGCGGAACAGAUGGUGGAGCGGUGAAAUGCGUUGAUAUCAUCUGGAACACCGGUGGCGAAAGCGGCCUACUGGGUCUUUUCUGACGCUGAGGAACGAAAGCUAGGGUAGCGAACGGGAUUAGAUACCCCGGUAGUCCUAGCCGUAAACGAUGAGCACUAGUCCGAGGGAACCCUCACAUUUUCUCGGACGUAGCGAAAGUGUUAAGUGCUCCCGCUGGGGAGUAUG